RNAcentral lists this ribosomal RNA (524 nucleotides) under uncultured microorganism. RNAcentral's name for it is "bacterial SSU rRNA". It matches the Rfam family "Bacterial small subunit ribosomal RNA", at positions 8 to 526 of the family's 1533-position model. The record is from RNAcentral.
AGAGUUUGAUCAUGGCUCAGAUUGAACGCUGGCGGCAGGCUUAACACAUGCAAGUCGAGCGGAUGAAAGUAGCUUGCUACUGGAUUCAGCGGCGGACGGGUGAGUAAUGCUUAGGAAUCUGCCUAUUAGUGGGGGACAACGUUCCGAAAGGAGCGCUAAUACCGCAUACGUCCUACGGGAGAAAGCAGGGGACCUUCGGGCCUUGCGCUAAUAGAUGAGCCUAAGUCGGAUUAGCUAGUUGGUAGGGUAAAGGCCUACCAAGGCGACGAUCUGUAGCGGGUCUGAGAGGAUGAUCCGCCACACUGGGACUGAGACACGGCCCAGACUCCUACGGGAGGCAGCAGUGGGGAAUAUUGGACAAUGGGGGGAACCCUGAUCCAGCCAUGCCGCGUGUGUGAAGAAGGCCUUUUGGUUGUAAAGCACUUUAAGCGAGGAGGAGGCUACCUAGAUUAAUACUUUAGGAUAGUGGACGUUACUCGCAGAAUAAGCACCGGCUAACUCUGUGCCAGCCGCCGCGGUAAUUC